Molecule: ribosomal RNA, 387 nt
Filed under: uncultured bacterium
Lineage: Bacteria
Description: bacterial SSU rRNA
Rfam family: Bacterial small subunit ribosomal RNA
Source: RNAcentral
AUUGAACGCUGGCGGCAUGCCUUACACAUGCAAGUCGAACGGCAGCGGACCUUCGGGUGCCGGCGAGUGGCGAACGGGUGAGUAAUAUAUCGGAACGUACCUUUCAGUGGGGGAUAACGUAGCGAAAGUUACGCUAAUACCGCAUAUUCUGUGAGCAGGGAAGCAGGGGGAUCGCAAGACCUUGCGCUGAUUGAGCGGCCGAUAUCAGAUUAGCUAGUUGGUGAGGUAAAGGCUCACCAAGGCGACGAUCUGUAGCGGGUCUGAGAGGAUGAUCCGCCACACUGGAACUGAGACACGGUCCAGACUCCUACGGGAGGCAGCAGUGGGGAAUUUUGGACAAUGGGCGCAAGCCUGAUCCAGCCAUGCCGCGUGAGUGAAGAAGGCCUU